CCUACGGGAGACAGCAGUGAGGAAUAUUGGUCAAUGGACGCAAGUCUGAACCAGCCAUGCCGCGUGCAGGAUGACUGCUCUAUGAGUUGUAAACUGCUUUUAUACGAGAAUAAUCUUUCUUACGUGUCCGUUUUUGUAUGUACCUUACGAAUAAGGAUCGGCUAACUCCGUGCCAGCAGCCGCGGUAAUACGGAGGAUCCGAGCGUUAUCCGGAUUUAUUGGGUUUAAAGGGGGCGUAGGUGGGCGGUUAAGUUAGUUGUGAAAGGUCGCGGCUUAACCCCGUUACUGCCUAUGAUACUGGUAGACUAGAGAGCGGAUGAAGUAGGCGGAAUGAGUAGUGUAGCGGUGAAAUGCUUAGAUAUCACUCAGAACACCGAUUGCGCAGGCAGCUUGCUAAGCCGCAUCUGACGUUGAUGCACGAAAGCGUGGGUAGCGAACAGGAUUAGAUACCCGGGUAGUC
RNAcentral lists this ribosomal RNA (460 nucleotides) under uncultured bacterium. Its description in RNAcentral is "partial 16S ribosomal RNA". It matches the Rfam family "Bacterial small subunit ribosomal RNA", at positions 338 to 795 of the family's 1533-position model. The record is from RNAcentral.